This 300-nucleotide ribosomal RNA is filed under the name Pseudoalteromonas sp. RNAcentral describes it as "bacterial SSU rRNA". It matches the Rfam family "Bacterial small subunit ribosomal RNA", at positions 1163 to 1460 of the family's 1533-position model. The record is from RNAcentral. Lineage: Bacteria; Pseudomonadati; Pseudomonadota; Gammaproteobacteria; Alteromonadales; Pseudoalteromonadaceae.
CCGGAGGAAGGUGGGGACGACGUCAAGUCAUCAUGGCCCUUACGUGUAGGGCUACACACGUGCUACAAUGGCGCAUACAGAGUGCUGCGAACUCGCGAAAGUAAGCGAAUCACUUAAAGUGCGUCGUAGUCCGGAUUGGAGUCUGCAACUCGACUCCAUGAAGUCGGAAUCGCUAGUAAUCGCGUAUCAGAAUGACGCGGUGAAUACGUUCCCGGGCCUUGUACACACCGCCCGUCACACCAUGGGAGUGGGUUGCUCCAGAAGUAGAUAGUCUAACCCUCGGGAGGACGUUACCUUUAA